ACGUUUGACUGCAGUAUUUCAUGCGUUUUAUAAUCCGGUGUGCCCGGAUUACACUGCUUUAUACUUUUAUACAUUAUACUGCUGCUUUUCAUCGCGGACACAUUUGUCCCGUAUUUUCCUCCACAACUUUGUUCACCUCGACCGGCAAACCAACGUUUGUGGAGAUCUCCCUCCAUGAAUCGGAGGCCGUCCGCGCGUCCUUAUGGUCCGCCAAUGACGGCUUGUAUAAGCGGUCAUAUUUACGCAUUUCUUCCGACAAAAGUUCUUCAAUCUGAUCCGUUCUCUCAUAAACAUUCUUCUUUUUAAUAAUGGCGAUAUUGUGCUAUGAAAACGUAAAUGCGAGACUCCGUAAAGAAUGUAGUUAGCAGACCAAUCACAGCCUUGUGCGCUGCGGGAGGCUGGCGUCGCUUGCGUUGCUUUCGACGCCAGCCUAGGAAAACGGGUUGAUGCACGCAAGCAGGCAAGGAGGUGUGAAAAGGCACGCAAGGGACACGCAAGGGGGUCUUGCGUCUGCGUCGCUCUGAAAACGCACAACGAUAAACUAGGCUUUAGCCUAGCUUAGGACGUCUGCUUUGUCUUGUGUUGCACUUGCUUGGUGUUUGACUGUGUUUGGAAAAUUGUUGACUUGCUAGUUUGUCAUAAAGUUUAGUGAAAACAUGCAACCGUGUGUGUCACACAGGGACACCGUGAGAGUUGGCAGCCCUGUAGCUUUGUUGGCUAGCUUGACAACAACUUUCCUAACAGUCAAACAUCAAGCAAGUGCAACACAAGACAAAGACAAGACAGCAAAUAAGUUCCUGAAUAGUCCAGCAGAAAUAUAUACACGCAAAAUAACCUACAAUUUCACUCAUGUGGGCCUUUUUGAUCAUGAAGUCAGAAUGCACACAAAAGUCAUUAUACACAAAGUCAAAUAAUACACACUUGAUGCAAUAGGCUACAUGCUGGUGGAGCCUGAGGGUGGAUCUUCACCUAAUUCUUUUUAUUUUUAGUUAAGGAAAUAUGAAUGUGAGAAUAUCAAACUCGCUAUAUGAAGUAAAUUAAGCAUUGUUUAUCCCACAGACAGUCAAUCAGAUGCCAGGUAAAAAAGGGAACCUUACAGAUUUUUUAUUGAUUACUAUCAUAGAUAAAUAUUCCAGUAGCCUAUCCUAUUUGUGGUAUCGUAUCAUAAGUAUCGGGUACUGUAAUAUUUUGGCAGGUAUAGUAUCGAAGUCAUAAUUUUGGUAUCAUGACAACCGUAGUUGAAAAGCAGACAUUUUGUUUUGUUCGAUGCUUAAGAUACACCGAUGGUAUUGGUAAUUUUACCUUAAUUAGAUACUCAGGAGUCAAACUGAUUUUAAGCUUUUAUAGAAAUUAACCGGGCCUCUAACGCAAAGUGAAAUGUUAUUAGGCAUCUGAAUAAGAGAGUGCAGCAGGCAGAGAAGGAGGAAGUUGUUUUUUCAAGAAUUACUGGUGUUGCGGGAAGUGGGAGGAGACACGUCAGCGAGCAGUAAAGGCCUGACUGCAAGUAGAACAAGGAAAUGUGGUCUGAGAAGUAACAAGGAGACAUGAGACCAUGUAACAAUGUCAUUGUUUCCACUAUCAUCACUGUAGCAUCCCUUCAACUUGGAAUAAACAGGCUUGGGAGUGUUUCCAGACGGGUGUACUUUAAUUCAGUUGAGUGUGCAUAGCACCAACACCAACACCGUCACCGUGAAAACUAAAAAGGGAAAUAACAAUUUAGCCAGAUACAAAAUAAUCCCUUGACAAAUGCACUUUACCAUACAUGGAUAACGGCAUAGCAGGCAAGAGUCAUUAUAUGAAAUGAAUUUACAUGAAUUACAAUUACAAUGAACCACAUACCUCGCUCCGAAUAUCAAAGGGUGCUAUAAAGUAGUAAUUCAGGGAAGUCCGCCGCCAUUAGCUUAAUUUAUUAAGUUGCUAGCUAGCUUCUUGUGUCUUCUAUUAAACAAAUGUGAGCGUGAGCAUGAGCGCGAGCGAUUAAUCACGUGAGCAGAUAGCAUGAUGUCAAAAUAAAAGUCACAUAAAAUCUAAGUAGGAAACAGGAUCAUCAAAAUAAAAGAACACUGCUAGUGGUCAUUUACACUCCCACCACUCAUGUUAUGAAGAGUGAAGACAAGGGUCAACCUGGCUGAACGGAUCAUACUUGAGUCCUGUCUGUAUCAGUGUUUCUAGAUGUGUGUAGGUGAGUAUUACUUAAUAUCUAGGAGAGAAUAGACUGUCAUGAGGAAAUAAAAGGUGCAGACAACUAGACUGAUUACUCACUCUCGAGGAGGAGAACUAGUUUCUGAAUGGGUCUUUCUAUGAUCAAAGGUUUGGUAGGGCGAUCUUGUUUUGCUGAUGUUCUUUCCCCUACUAACACCUUGACGCGACGCACUAGACCAUCGCUCCCCUUUUGUGGUUUCAACCACUCGUCCCAGGUGCCACUGAUUUCUAGGGGUGUCUUCCCUUAUAAUGACUAAGUCGUCUACCUUAAGGCUGCGUCGAGUUGUAUGCCACUUUUGGCGUGUGGAGAUGUUCAUGAGAUAUUCUCUCCUCCACCGGCUCCAGAACUGUUCAACAAGGUACUGGACUCUUCGCCACCUUUUAGUUGCAUACACAUCCUCCUUCUCAAAUUUGCCAGGCGGUGGAAGUGCAAUCUUGGAC
Gasterosteus aculeatus aculeatus (three-spined stickleback) is the source of this 2643-nucleotide long non-coding RNA. The record is from Ensembl. NCBI's taxonomy places the organism in Eukaryota, Metazoa, Chordata, Actinopteri, Perciformes, Gasterosteidae.